AGCUUUGCGCAGUGGCAGUAUCGUAGCCAAUGAGGUUUAUCCGAGGUGCAAUUAUUGCUAAUUGAAAAAAGCAAAGACAUUCCAGCAAAGACAUACGAAUGCUCAGUAAACAUUUCAGAAAGAAUGUAUAAUGUCAUU
Non-coding RNA from Mustela putorius furo (domestic ferret), 138 nucleotides. The record is from Rfam. NCBI's taxonomy places the organism in Eukaryota, Metazoa, Chordata, Mammalia, Carnivora, Mustelidae.